Molecule: transfer RNA, 60 nt
Filed under: Bullacta caurina
Lineage: Eukaryota; Metazoa; Mollusca; Gastropoda; Cephalaspidea; Haminoeidae
Description: tRNA-Asn
Source: RNAcentral
AGGUGAAGCUUGUAGCGUUUAACUGUUAAUUAAAAGAAGCAAAGAUUUUUGCCACUUAAA